UCUUGGGUGANGAGUGGCGGACGGGUGAGUAAUGUCUGGGAAACUGCCUGAUGGAGGGGGAUAACUACUGGAAACGGUAGCUAAUACCGCAUAACGUCUUCGGACCAAAGUGGGGGACCUUCGGGCCUCACACCAUCGGAUGUGCCCAGAUGGGAUUAGCUAGUAGGUGGGGUAAUGGCUCACCUAGGCGACGAUCCCUAGCUGGUCUGAGAGGAUGACCAGCCACACUGGAACUGAGACACGGUCCAGACUCCUACGGGAGGCAGCAGUGGGGAAUAUUGCACAAUGGGCGCAAGCCUGAUGCAGCCAUGCCGCGUGUAUGAAGAAGGCCUUCGGGUUGUAAAGUAUUUUCAUCCAGGAGGAAGGCCUUCGNGUUAAAAGNACGGUUGNGCGNUGUUACNGGCA
Molecule: ribosomal RNA, 405 nt
Filed under: Erwinia sp.
Lineage: Bacteria; Pseudomonadati; Pseudomonadota; Gammaproteobacteria; Enterobacterales; Erwiniaceae
Description: bacterial SSU rRNA
Rfam family: Bacterial small subunit ribosomal RNA
Source: RNAcentral